Molecule: long non-coding RNA, 272 nt
Organism: Amblyraja radiata (thorny skate)
Lineage: Eukaryota; Metazoa; Chordata; Chondrichthyes; Rajiformes; Rajidae
Exons: 2
Source: RefSeq, a predicted model, not a curated record
CCUCUGGGUUCAAAUGACAACAAAUAAAUAGUAUUGUAUUGUAUUGAGAUGCGUUUUUAUGUUGUUGAUCACCUUUCACCUGUAUCUGAAACAUUAAAUUUUUACGAUACUGUUGCACAUUAUGUUAGGGUGUUAAAACAGGAGUUGCACAUUGUGUUAUGGAGUAAUACAGCUGCUAUGACAAGAGGUACCAUUGUCUGAUACCGAGGCACCACAGGAUAUUAGCCCCGAUCAUUGGUAUGUCUAUUCUUUGAUUAAAAACUGAAAAACAA